RNAcentral lists this long non-coding RNA (492 nucleotides) under Homo sapiens (human). Its description in RNAcentral is "HSALNT0006143". Lineage: Eukaryota; Metazoa; Chordata; Mammalia; Primates; Hominidae. The record is from RNAcentral.
ACCGAGGAGCAUUCGACACGUGUGUCCCUCUGUCCAUUAACACAUUACCAACGCCUUUUGAGUAUUCCUCCCAGUGCAGGGUGCCGGGAACCCAGACGGAACAACUCAGCCUCUUUCCUCAGGGAAAGGAGGUCUGCUUAGACCCUGAAAAAAAAAGGGGGGGACUCAUAUCCUAAAACCAGCCUAUCUUUGCCUUGCCAUGAACUGACUGAUCUGGCCACAGGAGGCCUGAAGUCUGACUACCCCUCUAUAGAAACACAGAGAUAUUCUCUCUUUGGUAUUACCUCAACCAAGACUUGGAAAUUACAGCAUGGGUUUGAGUGCCUUCUUCCACUCCUCCUCCACUGUGCUGAAGAGAUAUUGAGUUCUUCCAGAUUUUUGCUUAGCUGGGUGGUUUCCAAACUCAAUGGACUCUCUAGGUAAAGCUCUGAGAAGCACAGUAUCACCAACUGUGCACUGCUGAAGGGCAUCGUGAGCAAAGUAGGUUUUCCG